AAAAGAGGGGAGGGGAGGGAUGCCAUGAUCACAAAAGGGGUUUUCCCAGGGUGAGGCUUAUCCAUUGCACUCUGGCUGAGCCCUGUGAUUUCCCCCAAAUUCAAGAAACUUGACUACAUAAUUUGUGGCAGUGGGGGACUACAUUCAUGCUCUCCCCUU
This is a small nuclear RNA of Rattus norvegicus (Norway rat), 159 nucleotides long. Ensembl annotates it as RNA, U1 small nuclear 149. Its record names the gene Rnu1-149. Lineage: Eukaryota; Metazoa; Chordata; Mammalia; Rodentia; Muridae. The record is from Ensembl.